AUUGAACGCUGGCGGCAUGCUUUACACAUGCAAGUCGAACGGCAGCGGGGAGGAGCUUGCUUCUCUGCCGGCGAGUGGCGAACGGGUGAGUAAUACAUCGGAACGUGUCGAGAAGAGGGGGAUAACCACCCGAAAGGGUGGCUAAUACCGCAUAAAUUCUGAGGAAGAAAGCUGGGGACCUAGGAAUAGGCCUAGCGCUUUUUGAGCGGCCGAUGUCGGAUUAGCUAGUUGGUGAGGUAAAGGCUCACCAAGGCGAAGAUCUGUAGCGGGUCUGAGAGGAUGAUCCGCCACACUGGGACUGAGACACGGCCCAGACUCCUACGGGAGGCAGCAGUGGGGAAUUUUGGACAAUGGGGGCAACCCUGAUCCAGCCAUGCCGCGUGUAUGAAGAAGGCCUUAGGGUUGUAAAGUACUUUUGUUAGGGAAGAAAAGUCAGCUGUGAAUAAUGGCUGAUACUGACGGUACCUAAAGAAUAAGCACCGGCUAACUACGUGCCAGCAGCCGCGGUAAUACGUAGGGUGCGAGCGUUAAUCGGAAUUAUUGGGCGUAAAGCGAGUGUAGACGGUUAUUUAAGCCAGAUGUGAAAUACCCGAGCCUAACUUGGGAGGUGCAUAUGGAACUGGGUAGCUAGAGUGUGUCAGAGGGAGGUAGAACUCCACGUGUAGCAGUGAAAUGCGUAGAGAUGUGGAAGAAUACCGAUGGCGAAGGCAGCCUCCUGGGAUAACACUGACGUUGAGGCUCGAAAGCGUGGGGAGCAAACAGG
This 763-nucleotide ribosomal RNA is filed under the name uncultured Neisseriaceae bacterium. RNAcentral's name for it is "bacterial SSU rRNA". It matches the Rfam family "Bacterial small subunit ribosomal RNA", at positions 28 to 776 of the family's 1533-position model. Lineage: Bacteria; Pseudomonadati; Pseudomonadota; Betaproteobacteria; Neisseriales; Neisseriaceae. The record is from RNAcentral.